Molecule: long non-coding RNA, 2298 nt
Filed under: Daucus carota (carrot)
Lineage: Eukaryota; Viridiplantae; Streptophyta; Magnoliopsida; Apiales; Apiaceae
Description: long non-coding RNA (DCAR_LNC000115)
Source: RNAcentral
CCAACCUUUCGGCCCUUCCUCUUCCCCAUAUCAUUUAUUCUGCAAAACAAUGAUCGUGAAUCAUUUAUCCACGGUGAUCAGCCACUAUUGCGCUUCGUUUGGCGACGCUGAAUAACAAUGGAACCGAUUGAGAUUGAUGGCUUCGGCUUUGGAAGCGGCGAUGAGGUCACAGAACAUUCUGAAUCGCAGUUGAACAUUGAGCUUAUCAAGGUACUGUACUAUACUAUAUUUCAUUAUCUAUUUAUUUUAGAGUUUAUAGUUUAAUCAGUAAUCAUUGGGUAAUUGAACUAGAAUACGAGUUUAGCAGGUUUUAUUAUAUUUCGAUUUUGUAGUUUAGUUACAAAUUUUGAUAAUUAAACUGGAAUAAGGGUUUAACAGAUUUCAAUUUUGUAGUGGAGAGUUGCAGAUUUUAGUUUAACAGAUUUCAAUUUUGUAGCAGAGAGUUGCAGAUUUUAGUUUAAUCAGUAAUCAUUGGGUAAUUGAACUGGAACACGAGUUUAGCAGGUUUUAUUAUAUUUCGAUUUUGUUGUUUCAAUUUUGAUAAUUAAACUGGAUAAGGAUUUAACAAAUUUCAAUUUUGUAGCAGAGAGUUGCAGAUUUGCUCGAAAUUCAUCAUGUUACCUCCUAUGGACUAGAUUAUCUGAAGAGCUGAUCUUUAAUGCUAUUCAUUUUUUGAUAAAAAUUGAAAAUGAGUUGUAUGUGAUGUUUCGUCCCACUCUUCAGGGCCUGAGUCCGUGGUCGAAAAAACUAUAACGGAUUGGAUUAAUGAGGAGCUUCAUGAUGACUCAUUUAAUCAUGUGCUUGAUUUUGUUUCACUGAGGAAAAGGCUUGUGGAUUUUGUUGAUCGUUGACUCAUGUUCUACGCAGUUCGGAGCUGAUUACUGCAGCAGUUUAAGCAAGUGAGUUGGCCAGCAGGACAAGAAUUUGGAGUGAUUGACAGAUUAAAAAAUGAGAAAGCAAAUGAUGUGGCUUGACAAGGCAAAUGCUCUGGCACAAUGUAUGGCUGCUAUUUCCUUGCUUGUUUUCUGAAGUUUGAGCAGGUGAGCACAAGACACAGCUCACUAUGUGGCAAACUGAACAAUCAUUUACCUUAGUGAAUACACAGUGACAUAGAGAUGAUGAUCAUUAUUUCUGGUGUGAGGAUAUUCAUUUUUGAUUGUUGAAGUUCGGUAAUUUUACAAGAAUUAAUAUUUUUGGAAAUUUUAUGCAGCUAUGGUGGAGGCUGGAGGCACCGGUAAAAUGAGUGAGCAGUUCACCAUCAGAUUAUAUAUAGAGCUUAGCAUGGCCAACAUCACCACAACAAUUGCAACGACUUGAAGCUUUUAAUUGAUGUCGUCAGUUCCUUGCUUCAUCGCUCUCUCGGACAUCUUUUAUCGCUCAAGGUUUAUACAUUUCCAAUUCAUCUCUCCAUCUAAUUUACAUGUCUCUAUCAUUAUUUCAGUUUCAUUUUUAAAUUCUCACGGCAUCAAUAGCUUGCUAUAACAGCUCACUAAUCACUAUAAUUUAAUUCAGCAUUGUUCUACUAUCUAAUUUACGGUAUCUCUCCCGCGCACAUAUUUGAUCGCCUUUAAACUUUUUUUGCUAAAUAAUAAAUUUGGCGCUGUUUUUUGCAUCCUUCUCGAUGUUAACUCAUCAGUUUGAUCAUGAAAAUAUGUGGUAUUUGAUGUUGUGCAUGUGUGUGCAUUAAAUUUGAAGUACAAUUAUAUGUCGAUUAUCAUGGCCAAAAGAUGAUGUUCUACAGAAUGGUUUUGCUUUAGCAAUCAUUAUACACUACACACUUAGCUAAAGUCGAUAAAUGAAUAGUUUUAAAAUAUAGGUUACUUGACUUUUUAACACAAACUGUUAAGUCUUUAACCAUAUAGUUACAAUCAUUGUUUUUUAAAAAAUUGAAUAAAAAUAUAUGAUUAAUAUUAUAAUUCAGAAAAAAAUUUAGAAAAAAAAAUAAUCAUAGCUAUGCAAUUAAAAAACUUAGAAAUGUGUGUCAAAUGUAUAUUAAUCAAGCAACUUAUAUUUCAAAACAGAGGGAGUGCAUCAUAGCAGGACGGAAGACUUUUUAAAUGUAUUUGCGGUGGACAAGAAAAUGUGUGUUCAGCUUUGUGUGUUUAUGUAAUUAAUCAAGUAUGUUAUGUCGUUGCCACAGUGGAUGCUAAAUUGCUAUAAGAAGACCACAAUAUCUACUUAAUUCUUGCAUAAAUUAAUACACUCUGAAAAUAGGAUUAAUUGGUAAGCUGAUAUGCCAGACAAGCAUCAAGUCAGAUGGAGAUGUGUUUCAUGAGGUCUUCAGUAGCAAACCACACC